This is a long non-coding RNA of Zalophus californianus (California sea lion), 396 nucleotides long. RefSeq lists it as uncharacterized. The record is from RefSeq and is a predicted model, not a curated record. The transcript is spliced from 3 exons. NCBI's taxonomy places the organism in Eukaryota, Metazoa, Chordata, Mammalia, Carnivora, Otariidae.
CUUUCUCAGAGGAGCAGGGGAGCAACCGCAACUCAGCCCCAAGAGCGGGCGAGCGAAACCCAGCGGGGCUAGCCCAACCGCGGCGCCGGCGCCUGCGCCCGCCUGCUCCUCGUCGGUGCCCACUGGCCCGCGGCGUCCAGGAAAGGGUCACAGGAGGAAUGUUGCCCGGGAAAUGUGGAGCGUCCCAGGCCGGUCAUUUCCCUGCGAGAAGUGUCCAGAAGUGUUCCUCAGAAAAAAUGUGCAGAGGUAGCGAGUUUCUUGAUAAAAAGUUUCUUCAUAAAUCUAUACUGAGGACUUAUGCUUCCAGGUUUCAACCAAGAUGGCACCAUGGAGAGAUCCAGAAUGCUCUUCUAUAGACGCACAGGUGGUUGAGAAAACACAAACAUCAAAAACAGG